GCCCGAUUAGCUCAGUGGCAGAGCAUCCGCCUUGUAAGCGGAGGGUCAUCAGUUCAAAUCUGAUAUUGGGCUCCA
This 75-nucleotide transfer RNA is filed under the name Actinomycetota bacterium. Its description in RNAcentral is "Actinobacteria bacterium tRNA-Thr". It matches the Rfam family "tRNA". From Rfam's summary of the family: Transfer RNA (tRNA) molecules are approximately 80 nucleotides in length. Their secondary structure includes four short double-helical elements and three loops (D, anti-codon, and T loops). The record is from RNAcentral. Lineage: Bacteria; Bacillati; Actinomycetota.